RNAcentral lists this small RNA (2593 nucleotides) under Pongo abelii (Sumatran orangutan). Its description in RNAcentral is "retained intron". Lineage: Eukaryota; Metazoa; Chordata; Mammalia; Primates; Hominidae. The record is from RNAcentral.
CAUUUCAUCUUAGCCACGCAGAAGUCGCUUGUCUAGGUGAGUCGCGGUGGGUCCCCGCUUGCAGUUCAGCUACCACGUUUGUUUCGACGCCGGACCGCGUAAGAGACGAUGAUGUUGGGCACCGAAGGUGGAGAGGGAUUCGUGGUGAAGGUCCGGGGCUUGCCCUGGUCUUGCUCGGCCGAUGAAGUGCAGAGGUUUUUUUCUGACUGCAAAAUUCAAAAUGGGGCUCAAGGUAUUCGUUUCAUCUACACCAGAGAAGGCAGACCAAGUGGCGAGGCUUUUGUUGAACUUGAAUCAGAAGAUGAAGUCAAAUUGGCCCUGAAAAAAGACAGAGAAACUAUGGGACACAGAUAUGUUGAAGGUUUGAUUUACAUUGCCCUAGUUACAGUAAAUAAAGCAUUAAACAAUAGAGGUCUUACCCCUUCUGAAUUUUAGGUGUUUGACUGCAUGGAAAUGGUCAUCUAAGGGAGUUUGUGGCAGCUCUUCCUAGCUUAUCUAAAGACCCAGGAAGUCUGAACUUUGUUAUCUAAUUUUCCAAAAGUGACUAAUUCUAAGCACCUCUUUCAGUAUUCAAGUCAAACAACGUUGAAAUGGAUUGGGUGUUGAAGCAUACUGGUCCAAAUAGUCCUGACACGGCCAAUGAUGGCUUUGUACGGCUUAGAGGACUUCCCUUUGGAUGUAGCAAGGAAGAAAUUGUUCAGUUCUUCUCAGGGUUGGAAAUCGUGCCAAAUGGGAUAACAUUGCCGGUGGACUUCCAGGGGAGGAGUACGGGGGAGGCCUUCGUGCAGUUUGCUUCACAGGAAAUAGCUGAAAAGGCUCUAAAGAAACACAAGGAAAGAAUAGGGCACAGGUAUAUUGAAAUCUUUAAGAGCAGUAGAGCUGAAGUUAGAACUCACUAUGAUCCACCACGAAAGCUUAUGGCCAUGCAGCGGCCAGGUCCCUAUGACAGACCUGGGGCUGGCAGAGGGUAUAACAGCAUUGGCAGAGGAGCUGGCUUUGAGAGGAUGAGGCGUGGUGCUUAUGGUGGAGGUACGUGAGGAUUCGCAAGGUUUGGCAAGUAGUCUGUUCCUUUGUCUAGGUGUUUUGAUUGAUUGUACUUUGUCUUUCAGGCUAUGGAGGCUAUGACGAUUACAAUGGCUAUAAUGAUGGCUAUGGAUUUGGGUCAGAUAGAUUUGGAAGAGGUAAGGUAAGAAUUGAAUUUCUCAGUUGAAGGAUGCUUACACUCUUGUCCAUCUAGACCUCAAUUACUGUUUUUCAGGAAUGUCUGAUCACAGAUACGGGGAUGGUGGCUCUACUUUCCAGAGCACAACAGGACACUGUGUACACAUGCGUGGAUUACCUUACAGAGCUACUGAGAAUGACAUUUAUAAUUUUUUUUCACCGCUCAAUCCUGUGAGAGUACACAUUGAAAUUGGUCCUGAUGGCAGAGUAACUGGUGAAGCAGAUGUCGAGUUCGCAACUCAUGAAGAUGCUGUGGCAGCUAUGUCAAAAGACAAAGCAAAUAUGCAACACAGAUAUGUAGAACUCUUCUUGAAUUCUACAGCAGGAGCAAGCGGUGGUGCUUACGAACACAGAUAUGUAGAACUCUUCUUGAAUUCUACAGCAGGAGCAAGCGGUGGUGCUUAUGGUAGCCAAAUGAUGGGAGGCAUGGGCUUGUCAAACCAGUCCAGUUACGGGGGCCCAGCCAGCCAGCAGCUGAGUGGUGGUUAUGGAGGCGGCUAUGGUGGCCAGAGCAGCAUGAGUGGAUACGACCAAGUUUUACAGGAAAACUCCAGUGAUUUUCAAUCAAACAUUGCAUAGGUAACCAAGGAGCAAUGAACAGCAGCUACUACAGUAGUGGAAGCCGUGCAUCUGUGGGCGUGAACGGAAUGGGAGGGAUGUCUAGCAUGUCCAGUAUGAGUGGUGGAUGGGGAAUGUAAUUGAUCGAUCCUGAUCACUGAUUCUUGGUCAACCUUUUUUUUUUUUUUUUUUUUUUUUUAAAGAAAAAAACUUCAGUUUAACAGUUUCUGCAAUACAAGCUUGUCAUUUAUGCUUACUCUAAGUGGAAAUCAGGAUUGUUAUGAAGACUUAAGGCCCAGUAUUUUUGAAUACAAUACUCAUCUAGGAUGUAACAGUGAAGCUGAGUAAACUGUAACUGUUAAACUUAAGUUCCAGCUUUUCUCAAGUUAGUUAUAGGAUGUACUUAAGCAGUAAGCGUAUUUAGGUAAAAGCAGUUGAAUUAUGUUAAAUGUUGCCCUUUGCCACGUUACAUUGAACACUGUUUGGAUGCAUGUUGAAAGACAUGCUUUUAUUUUUUUGUAAAACAAUAUAGGAGCUGUGUCUACUAUUAAAAGUGAAACAUUUUGGCAUGUUUGUUAAUUCUAGUUUCAUUUAAUAACUUGUAAGGCACGUAAGUUUAAGCUUUUUUUUUUUUUUUUUUUUUUUUUAAAGUUAAUGGGAAAAAUUUGAGACGCAAUACCAAUACUUAGGAUUUUGGUCUUGGUGUUUGUAUGAAAUUCUGAGGCCUUGAUUUAAAUCUUUCAUUGUAUUGUGAUUUCCUUUUAGGUAUAUUGCUAAGUGAAACUUGUCAAAUAAAUCCUCCUUUUAAAAACUG